AAGUCGUAACAAGGUCUCCGUUGGUGAACCAGCGGAGGGAUCAUUACCGAGUUUACAACUCCCAAACCCCUGUGAACUUAUACCUUUACUGUUGCUUCGGCGGGUCAUUGCCCCGGGGAAACGACAGGUGUGGCCGUCAGGUCCCCCUGCCCGACCCCCCGGAAACAGGCGCCCGCCGGGGGACUCAAACUCUUAUGUAUUUUUGUUUACUGUAUACUGUCUGAGUAAAAGUUACAAAUGAAUCAAAACUUUCAACAACGGAUCUCUUGGUUCUG
This 275-nucleotide unclassified non-coding RNA is filed under the name fungal sp. RNAcentral describes it as "partial contains small subunit ribosomal RNA, internal transcribed spacer 1, and 5.8S ribosomal RNA". The stretch from base 1 to 46 matches the Rfam family "Eukaryotic small subunit ribosomal RNA", at positions 1786 to 1831 of the family's 1831-position model. Lineage: Eukaryota; Fungi. The record is from RNAcentral.